RNAcentral lists this long non-coding RNA (240 nucleotides) under Helianthus annuus (common sunflower). Its description in RNAcentral is "sRNA HanXRQr2_Chr01g0030961". The record is from RNAcentral. Lineage: Eukaryota; Viridiplantae; Streptophyta; Magnoliopsida; Asterales; Asteraceae.
GGGUUCUAGCUGCGAUGUACAGAAGUCUGGUUUCAGCGUCCCAAAGACAUUGUACGGAAACUGCUUUCAGGGGAUCUAGACCUUGGUAUUGUCGACCUUCACACGUUUAGCGAAUAUGGACAUAGUAAAUGAUCUUUGACACAAAAUUGAAUGACAGUAAAGAAUGAACAGUUAGACACGAACAGGAACAGGUGAAAGUGGUGGGGUCGUCGUCGCCGGAAAUGCUUCCAUAGGUGGUGG